CCUACGGGAUGCUGCAGUGAGGAAUAUUGGUCAAUGGGCGGGAGCCUGAACCAGCCAAGUCGCGUGAGGGAAGACGGUCCUAUGGAUUGUAAACCUCUUUAGGCGGGGAGCAAUGCCGGGCACGUGUGCCCGGAGGGAGAGUACCCGCAGAAUAAGCAUCGGCUAACUCCGUGCCAGCAGCCGCGGUAAUACGGAGGAUGCGAGCGUUAUCCGGAUUGAUUGGGUUUAAAGGGUGCGUAGGCGGAUUUUUAAGUCAGCGGUAAAAUGUCCGGGCUCAACCCGGGCCGGCCGUUGAAACUGGGGAUCUUGAGUGGGCGAGAAGUAUGCGGAAUGCGUGGUGUAGCGGUGAAAUGCAUAGAUAUCACGCAGAACUCCGAUUGCGAAGGCAGCAUACCGGCGCCCGACUGACGCUGAGGCACGAAAGCGUGGGGAUCGAACAGGAUUAGAUACCCGGGUAGUC
RNAcentral lists this ribosomal RNA (460 nucleotides) under uncultured bacterium. Its description in RNAcentral is "partial 16S ribosomal RNA". It matches the Rfam family "Bacterial small subunit ribosomal RNA", at positions 338 to 795 of the family's 1533-position model. The record is from RNAcentral.